CAGCCGCCGCGGUAAUACGUAGGGUGCAAGCGUUGUACGGAAUUAUUGGGCGUAAAGAGCUCGUAGGCGGUUUGUCGCGUCUGCUGUGAAAACGCGAGGCUCAACCUCGCGCCUGCAGUGGGUACGGGCAGACUAGAGUGUGGUAGGGGAGAUUGGAAUUCCUGGUGUAGCGGUGGAAUGCGCAGAUAUCAGGAGGAACACCGAUGGCGAAGGCAGAUCUCUGGGCCAUUACUGACGCUGAGGAGCGAAAGCGUGGGGAGCAAACAGGAUUAGAUACCCCCGUAGUCCCUGUCUCUUAUAC
This 301-nucleotide ribosomal RNA is filed under the name uncultured bacterium. RNAcentral's name for it is "partial 16S ribosomal RNA". It matches the Rfam family "Bacterial small subunit ribosomal RNA", at positions 509 to 807 of the family's 1533-position model. The record is from RNAcentral.